RNAcentral lists this ribosomal RNA (456 nucleotides) under Triticum aestivum (bread wheat). RNAcentral's name for it is "partial small subunit ribosomal RNA". Lineage: Eukaryota; Viridiplantae; Streptophyta; Magnoliopsida; Poales; Poaceae. The record is from RNAcentral.
CCUACGAGGACCGGAGGUGUCCCUUGUCUGGUGUCGGCUCUCCGUAAUGAACGUCUGCCCAAGGAUUUCAAAGGACCUAGGAAGGUACCUAAUUAUACGGCUGAUUUACAACCCGGAGCAUGGAUCGAGAGCUACGAGAUGGCUAUGGAGUUGCUAGAGGUCAGCGAAGCGGCAAUGGCCAAAUACUUCACCAUGAUGUUGGAUGGGACUGCCCGCACUUGGUUGAAAGGACUGCCGCCUAAUUCUAUUGGGUCAUGGGCAGAGCUAAAAGCCCGGUUCAUGCAAAACUUCAAAGAUACAUGUAGGCAAUCUAUGUCAAUUGUGGAUUUGAUUAACUGCAAGCAUCAAGAGGGCGAGUCUACAACCCAUUGGGUUCGCCGGGUCAAAGAGAUAAUACAUUCGUCUGAUAAGAUGGAUGCCGGCUCUGCAGUCUUAAUGUUGGAGCAAAAUUGUCAU